Molecule: ribosomal RNA, 559 nt
Filed under: Penicillium griseofulvum
Lineage: Eukaryota; Fungi; Ascomycota; Eurotiomycetes; Eurotiales; Aspergillaceae
Description: eukaryotic LSU rRNA
Rfam family: 5.8S ribosomal RNA (bases 209-361)
Source: RNAcentral
CUUCCGUAUUUUGAACCUGCGGAAGGAUCAUUACUGAGUGAGGGCCCUCUGGGUCCAACCUCCCACCCGUGUUUAUUUACCUUGUUGCUUCGGCGGGCCCGCCUUAACUGGCCGCCGGGGGGCUUACGCCCCCGGGCCCGCGCCCGCCGAAGACACCCUCGAACUCUGUCUGAAGAUUGUAGUCUGAGUGAAAAUAUAAAUUAUUUAAAACUUUCAACAACGGAUCUCUUGGUUCCGGCAUCGAUGAAGAACGCAGCGAAAUGCGAUACGUAAUGUGAAUUGCAAAUUCAGUGAAUCAUCGAGUCUUUGAACGCACAUUGCGCCCCCUGGUAUUCCGGGGGGCAUGCCUGUCCGAGCGUCAUUGCUGCCCUCAAGCACGGCUUGUGUGUUGGGCCCCGUCCUCCGAUUCCGGGGGACGGGCCCGAAAGGCAGCGGCGGCACCGCGUCCGGUCCUCGAGCGUAUGGGGCUUUGUCACCCGCUCUGUAGGCCCGGCCGGCGCUUGCCGAUCAACCCAAAUUUUUAUCCAGGUGACCUCGGAUCAGGUAGGUCCAAUUUUUG